RNAcentral lists this long non-coding RNA (1362 nucleotides) under Nicotiana tabacum (common tobacco). RNAcentral's name for it is "long non-coding RNA (NTAB_LNC016063)". Lineage: Eukaryota; Viridiplantae; Streptophyta; Magnoliopsida; Solanales; Solanaceae. The record is from RNAcentral.
UCCUACCCUCCACCCCAUAAAUAAGGGAAAAUAAAACAGUUGACAACGAGCUUUUUUACCAGCUCUCUGGUACUAACUUUUAAGGGCAUGAAUGAAAACAAGAACUCUCUGAAGGCUCCUAUGACACUAAUUAAAAUGUCUAAUUACGAAACAUUGCCAUUUAGUUGUCAGGUUGCAUGGUAGGAGUUAGACCUCUGUUUGCAUUAAUAUCUUUUCGGUAAGUCCAAUCUGUGUGUAUAUAUUGUUGUUUAUAUAUAUGUUCUAACAAGAAUUCUUCGAAGUAUGACUUGCAUCUUUUUCACGAUGCAAAAUCUUACACGUAUAUUGUUUAGAUAAAAAUCUACCAUUCAGGUUGCAAUUUUUGGUUAGUAUCAAUUUUACUAUUAGUUCAUUAUUUUGAUUCUAUUCAAUAUAAAUUUCUUUUUGCGUGGAUUUUGAAAAUGAGAGUCCACCAUCUGAAACUAAGCCCGCUAAAGAGACAAGACGUGUUACUGUCUUGUCCAAUUCAUCUUAAAGUAUGAGGCAACAAACCUUUGAGUUUAGGAGCUUGAUUUGGGUUGUGAAAUACUUAUCCUGGAAGUAUCUUAAAGUUUUAUUUGCUAUCUCAGGCUUCAUUAACGGCUAUAUUCAUCUUUAAAUUCAAUAAAACAAGUUCUGUAACUGAGACGUAUUUUUAUCCUUGCAGCUGCCACCUGCACCUCCGUUCCACUUUAGAAGCUUCUGAAAACCAGCAACUGGGGACUCAGGUGCCUCCAAUUGAUCCUAUUGUUGAUCCCCGUCCAAGAUAAUGGAAGUUUGAGACAAGAUUAGUGUCUAAACCUUUGCGCGUAAGGAAAAACUUGGACAAGGUUGUCUGAAAUAGUCUUGAAUGAUAGUCUAACCAAGAUUUUCGUUCUCCAGGGAUUCUGCUGCAGAUUAUAUGGUGUUGAAUCUAAUGUAAGAUUGCUCGGCAAGAACUUGCCACGAUGCAAGGUAAGAUCUGCACUAGAUAAUUAUGUUUUACAUUUUGAUUUCUUAGACUAGGAAACAUGGGCAGAGCUAGGGGCGUGAUACAAUCUAGAUGGUCAUCGAGCAUUGGAGGCUACUUUCAUAAUGAUGCGACUACAUGUAUAAUUUCCCCAACAAUUAGACUAUAUUACAUUUGGUAGUUAUAUUUGUAAUAGUUAGCUCACUAGUAUUAAUAGCACUUAAGGCUCUCAUUUUAGAGUUAGUUUAUUUUGAUAUUGUGAAUGAAAACUUAUUGAGAGUGUUUAAGAUUAAUUCCUAUGUUGGUUGAUUACUUGUUAAGGUGAACUUGCAAGGGGAUUGUUUCCCUUUGAGUGUUGUUCAUAUAGUUUUGGGUCAAUUAAGUCUUAAAUUGAG